Long non-coding RNA from Argiope bruennichi, 425 nucleotides. RefSeq lists it as uncharacterized. The record is from RefSeq and is a predicted model, not a curated record. NCBI's taxonomy places the organism in Eukaryota, Metazoa, Arthropoda, Arachnida, Araneae, Araneidae. The transcript is spliced from 3 exons.
AAAAUGUUUCUUUUUAAUCACAUUAUCCUUGAAAUUCUUCCCUCAAAAUUCUCGAGUUUUUCCUGGUUUCUCUUGAGUAUAAAAAGGGGAAGGCUUGUCUCACUCGGCAUGUUUGCAUAUCUCCCGCAGUGAGUUAGCAAAAUGAACUACUUGUUCUUCACCCUUCUUGUUAUCUUCGCCAUCGUGGCAACCACUAUGGCCCAGUAUGCCUCAUACUACUACAACACCCACGCCGCCUAUCCCUACGCCUAUCACUAUGGCGUUGCUCCCUACGCUUACGUUUGGAAGUGAAUAGAAAAUUAAAGGUGCAACGGAUUGAUUCCUGGAUCUUGACAAUGAUGAGAGCCGGAUAAUAUUCCAAAUUAACAUUUGUUCAAUUUCAAAAAUAUCGAAAUUUUGUUGCCAAUAAAUUUAUAAAAAUCUGA